CAGCAGCCGCGGGAAUACAGAGGGUGCGAGCGUUAAUCGGAUUUACUGGGCGUAAAGCGUGCGUAGGCGGCUUUUUAAGUCGGAUGUGAAAUCCCCGGGCUUAACUUAGGAAUUGCAUUUGAUACUGGGUAGCUAGAGUAUGGGAGAGGAUGGUAGAAUUCCAGGUGUAGCAGUGAAAUGCGUAGAGAUCUGGAGGAACACCGAUGGCGAAGGCAGCCAUCUGGACUAAGACUGACGCUGAGGUACGAAAGCAUGGGGAGCAAACAGGAUUAGAUACCCCAGUAGUCCCUGUCUCUUAUAC
RNAcentral lists this ribosomal RNA (301 nucleotides) under uncultured bacterium. RNAcentral describes it as "partial 16S ribosomal RNA". It matches the Rfam family "Bacterial small subunit ribosomal RNA", at positions 509 to 807 of the family's 1533-position model. The record is from RNAcentral.